Non-coding RNA from Pocillopora verrucosa, 1127 nucleotides. The record is from RefSeq and is a predicted model, not a curated record. Lineage: Eukaryota; Metazoa; Cnidaria; Anthozoa; Scleractinia; Pocilloporidae.
UGGCGGUCUUCUUGAAUUGUCUUCGCAAAGAAAAUUUCCUCUGCCAGUUAAAAUGUGAUUAAUCUGUAUCCCAAACUAGAAAUAAUUACGGCGUCGGCGUUGAAACUUCUCUUCAUCAAAUGAGGUCUUCUCAAAAUUUUCUGAGCUACAACAGUCGCUGUUGAUACAUGUAAACAAAGCUUCCUCGAUCUGAACGGUGUUGCGAUGACAGGGACUGUGAGGCACUGUGAGACAGGGACUGUGAGACUGACAUGCUGAUCAAGGGAUAGUGAAACUCCAACCUUACGAAGGGCUCCCAAGGAAUUGACGAAUGUACAAAAUGUGGUAACACUGGGUUCUUGUUCGUGCCCGUUUUUACUACUGGGCCUAAAAUGAAUUUAUUCCGUUUUCCGACUUACAACAAUUGGCUUAAGUGAAUCCAACCGAGUUUAAACUAGAAUUUCAGAGUUUGAUCCAUAAACGCAACGAAAACAUACACACCAAAAUGCUCCGACCGAGUAAAAUCACAUCAUGUGAUUACGUUAUUAACCCUUUAACUCCCAGAUUAAAUUUGUAAUUCUCCUUAGUGUCAAACAUACAAUUCUUACAAUAAUAGUUCAGAGAAUUUAGUAUUGGAUCAACUAAUUAUCCCCAAAUUGAUCUUUUUCUUUAUUCUCAUCACUUAUCUAGUUGAUAUUGUAUUGAUAUUGUAAGGAGAAAUUCUGUUUUGGUCACUCAUGGGAGUUAAAGGGUUAACAAUUAACAAGUCAGUGUCAACCAAGGGAGGUUCCCUGAAUUCCGCAAAGGGCCUAAAAGUAUUAUGUUACACUAAGGUCUUCGUUACAUACCGAUUCCUUAUACGGGGCUCCCACUCAAAAACUACGUUAUUAAUUUUUUGCUAGAAGCAAGCAAUUAAAAUUCUAGUUACUUCUUGGUUCAUGAUAAUCUCUUUGUUGGUUUGCUCUGUUACCGAACCGAAUAUUUCGCAAAUUACUUUCAGUUAAGGUGGUUUUUGCAAGAAGCAGAAGAAAAACCUUGAAUUAUCGUGACUGACCAAAAGAAGUAGUUAAUCUUGAGAAUUAACUGAUAUAAAUCACUUAAUACAAACUAUGUACUCUACGUAUUUUUAUCCAAUUAUCGCUAUUGAA